CGUGUACCGGUAAAUACUGAUUUUUUAUUCAAAAAUAUACCGAUAUCAUGUAAAACCAUCUGACCACACUGCCUCGCCGCAGAGCAAAACAAAAUGUCGCUAACUGCCGUGUUUCGUAAAUCAAAACUCAUAGUGUUUAUAUGUUUCCGUGGUGUUACCUAUCGGCCCCCAGAUGACAAUCUAGGAAAUUCCGGUUCGGAGUUGCGUGAAAUAAUAUGUUGUAGAGAUUCUGGAUAAACCUACCAUAAAAUAAAUGCUUUCAUUUGCUGGCCCGUCAAAGGUUAAGCUAAGCUGAUGCCAAGCAAAAGUUGGAAACUAGCAAAUAUUCGAAAAUUGAUGGUCCGCAAGGAUGGAAACGUUUUAGAUGAAAGUGAUUGUUGAAUAUUCCAUUGAAGCUGAAAAGUGAAUGACGACGGAAACCACUGAUGGGAUAACAGAACACACUGCCACCGAUGACCAACCGGGACCAAUUGAACAAGCAACCUGAUGCAGUGUUUACGCAACAUCUGGACACAAGGGAAGUCGGAUGGCGAAUCAAACUUGCACUACGAAUGGGAAACAGUUGCACUAUUCCGCUGUCGAUGGAAGAUGUAAAUCCGGUGGGUACUCAUCAAUCCGGUAACGACGAGACUCGUGAUCACUGCUGUCGUUUCCGUCGCCUGGUUCUGGACAGGUUGGAACAGGAAGUAAAUGCAAGUUGAAAUUUCAAAGAUGUAGGGAGAAAAUAAAACGUGUGCGUCAACCGGAUUUAACCCUUAAAGGCGCAAAUCAAUUUUUUUAGAAUUUUGUGAAAAUCGUCUAACAGCUAUAUCACAUUAAUAUAAUAAUUUUUAGACGAUUUUCAGGAUGUUGUUUUAAAAUAACAUUGCGCAUUUAAGGGUUAAACCACCAUAUAAGGAAAGAAGAAGGAAAUGGACGCUGAUGCUGCCAACGGUGGAUCAAAUGAAAACUAUAGGGGAGACUGAGGAGACUUGAUCCCCGGGGAGACUUGAUCCCAUCAUUGAAACUCAAAGGCGGAUCAGAAUACAUUAAUCGAAUAUACUAGAAAGUUGCGUAGUUUAAUCUAAACAUAAGUUUCUUUAACACAAAAAAAUAAAUUGGACAUGUGUUACCGAAUUUUUACCGAUUUAAAGAAAAAAAUCUCAGAAGAACAGAAGAUUUAUUUUCCAAAUUUUCAAACUUUUAUACAAUUGAUAAAUUCACCCACUGCAUCCUAUACUUUUGCAUACAGAAAUACAGGAGAAUGUCAAUUAUAUGAAUACGCUAUGAUUGAGCUGAUUUUUUCGUUCAACUAUAUUUGUACUAAAGUUUGCUGAAAUAGAUGCUAUGGGUUCACUUGAUCCCUUCAAACUCGUGGAGAUUUGAUCCCCUUCGCCAUGCUUCAUACAAACUACUGAAAAUAACCAAAUUCAAACCAGAACAAUUGAAGUCAUUGUUGCCACAAAAUAAACAUGCCAUAAACUUGUGUAAAAUCUCUAACGGUUUCGAAGGUAGUUUGGAUAUCUAAACCAGGUGCGCUACUGUCGUCAUGUUUUUUUUGUGGCUGAGUGCGACAGAAAUGACAGCGGUUAUUCCUCUACCCAGUCAAACUAGUC
Molecule: long non-coding RNA, 1595 nt
Organism: Topomyia yanbarensis
Lineage: Eukaryota; Metazoa; Arthropoda; Insecta; Diptera; Culicidae
Exons: 3
Source: RefSeq, a predicted model, not a curated record